This 20-nucleotide microRNA is filed under the name Ophiophagus hannah (king cobra). RNAcentral describes it as "oha-miR-5391". Lineage: Eukaryota; Metazoa; Chordata; Lepidosauria; Squamata; Elapidae. The record is from miRBase by way of RNAcentral.
UGGACAGAUAUGAAGAGGCA